RNAcentral lists this long non-coding RNA (3157 nucleotides) under Mytilus galloprovincialis (Mediterranean mussel). Lineage: Eukaryota; Metazoa; Mollusca; Bivalvia; Mytilida; Mytilidae. The record is from RNAcentral.
GUCUAUCACAAAAUACAGAUACAUCUUGAAAAAUUUGAAAAAUUAAUAAAACUACAUAAGAGUUUGGUGAAAAGUAUUUAAUCUAAUUGUUGAAAUCAAUUCUAUUACCUUUGUUAAAAAUUCACACAUUUCAUCAAAUUACAGUAAAUUAAAUUUAUUACUCUAUUUUCCAAUGAGAAAGUUUUCUAAUUUUUCACAUUCAGACUGACAUUCCAAAAAAUAAUUAGAAAAGUAUACAGCUUCAGUAAGUUAUUCUGACAUUUAAUUAUAUUCCAAUGUUGUCUUUGUGUGAUUUGUUUUAAAAACUUCCAUAUAAGUAAAAAUGGAAAUCUAGGUUUACUGUUAGAUAUCGUAAAAAUCAAUCCGUUCAAUGGUUCAUUUGUCAAUUACAGACUUCGAAUUUGAUUUUAAGGAACAGUAUAUAUUUAGGACAAACUUUCUCAAGCUACACAAAUGAGACGAAGGAGCUUGGUGUAUUGUGAAGGAAUGCCAUAAUUUAUUCUUUGCAAGUGCAUUACACAUUUCUGGUAAAAACAUGAUGGCAAAGUGAUUAUGCAAUGAAAUUUCAUAAAAGUUUACAUACAUAAUAUUAAAACCAUCAAAACAGGUUCUUUCUUCCAUUCAAGUUUGUUUACAGUCUGUCCUACCAAGUGUUCCUUCCAGUUCCCUUUGAAAAAUAAGGGUAGCAGUUGGUAAUUUAAAUUGGAAAAUGAAACUAUUACAUAAAUUAAAAGUAGCACAACUACACAAGUAUAAAAAUUCUGUCAAGUGGUUUUAUCAUUCCUGUUUUAAGUAUGAGAUUAUGGAUGGACAAAACAGAUGAACAAGACAAAAAACAAGAAGUUAACCUAUAAAACUCUAACAGAUGCUGUCUUUAUACUGCAAAUCUCUCAACAACAAUUACUACUUUCAUUCACAAAUUAUAGAUGUGAAAAAAAAUGACUUAUUGUAACCAAUAAACAUGGAAACACUACAUAUAACAUUCUUAUUAUAAACCGCCAAACCCUUACAUGUGGUAGAGUUGACUAAUGAAGUCAAGUGACCUUGGUCAGACAAACAUGUAAACCUUUUAACAAUUCUUUAGGCCAAAUAUAAUUGAUCUUCUUCUUAUCACUCGGUUUAGUUUUAAUGAUCUAACCAACAGAUAUUGUUUUUAGUCAUUAAAUUUAGGCCAAAAUUACACUGAACCAAAAUUUGUGAUGUCGAUCAAAUUUAUAGACAACAGGUAAAAUAAAACUUGAGGUCAGAAAUUUGUGAUUCUAAAUUUUUAAUUGAGUUGAGUUGGACAAAAAAAUAAGAGGGAACAUAAUGAAUUAUUGAUUUAUUUGAUGUUAAUAUUCAUCACUGUUGAGAACCCAUUUCUCAAAAACCUAUCCUUGAGUGUGACCAUGGUAUAAACCAGUUAUUUACAUGCAAGAUGUUGGCCAGGUUUCAUUUCAUUUUUAUUCAAGCUUGACAAUGCUAACAGCUGCAAGGGAUGGCAACUAUGCAAAUUAUGACUAACAAAUAUAUGUAAAAUAAACCUUCUUAAACCUUAAUCAUUCUUUAAUCUUAGUUCAAAUUAAUAUAUGUACCCUCAUUUCAAAAUAUCACAUUAAAUAUACCCCAUCAGUUUUCACAAAUGUGUUUGCUAAAAUACAUUUUAGUUUAUAUCAUAACAAUAUCAGAUAUAAUACAUUUAAUAGUGUUCAAUUUGAUCAUCAAAGUCAAAAUCUUUCCAGUGAUCCCACAAUCAAUCUACUUAAACAGUAUUCUUUGGUGUAUUGAAAUUACUCUUCAUAUUUAUAUCUUUUUUAAUAAUUUGAGCACCUUUAAAAUAUCCUUAAGCUUACAUCUAUAUACCCCUUAUCUAUACUGUGGUAUACAAUUAUUAACCAAGCCUUUAACAGAUUUACACUAACAAUACAUCUUUGAACAUUCUAACUAGAUUCAGUCAUACUGUACUUGUAGUGUAGAAACAGAAAAAAAUAUAUUAAACACAAAUGUAAUGGAUACUUAUUAUUAUAUCUGAAUCAAAGAAUCAUCCUCUAUCCAAAAGGACUUUCUUCAAUUUCAUACAUUUUUCUUUUAAUUUUACUUCACCAUACAUGUCUAAAAUUCCAAACAGUUUUGAGAAAAUCAAGAAAAACAUUUUUUCUUCCCCACAUUCCCAAAUUAUUGUGGAAAGAGCAUAAGGGUAUUUAUUUUUCUAAAUUAUUUAUUUAUUAGUUAUUAUAGGGGGGUACCACUUUUCAGAUCGAUUGCCGUUUAGCUAAAUCAUGUUAAUGAAUUACCAAAACUAAAUUUCCCUUAGUCAUUUUAAAAGUCAACGAAAGAGUCACUUAGUCACUUUUUACUUCUAGUAACACAAUGGGCAUGCACGCUAAAAAUCUUAUGGGUAAUUCCUAAAACUAAAAAUGCAAUAGCUUAAACUUUGUCAAUCUUAUUUACAAAAUACAAUAUAAAAGUUAUUGCUUUUAAUUUAUAUGACUGUGUAGAAUAAAACCUGGAUAUAGAAAAUCAUUUCAUUAAUGUUUCAAGCCUGGUGUCUUAGUUGACAUUUACAACAAUUUUCUUAUAAAAAAUUCUUUAUUUAGUAGAAUUUUUUUCUUUAGAAGCAUCAUUACAUGUUAUUGGGAUUAUACAUUUCAUUGAAAUAGUGUGCUUACAUAAAAUGAGAUUGUCAAGUUAUUAAAAAGCCUCUAACCAUCAACACCCGAGGUUGACAUCGAGUAACAUGAGUAACAUCGCUAUUAGGCAAGUAUAUUUAACAAAUCUUAAAACUGAACCAGAGUAUAAAUUGCUGUAUUAUUGGUACCCAUUAGGAAACACUUUAGGUAUUGGCAUUCUUUUGUCUUUCAAAAUAUUCUUGAUAAUAAUUUAACAUUAACUUUCAAGCCAUUGAAACAAAAAAAUGUCAAGAACAACAGACAUAACAGUCAUGACAGUAUGCCUGACAAAAUUUACACGAUAAGAAAUCUAUAAACUAAUAAGCAUUAUCUACCUUAUAAAUUAUAUAUAUAAAGCAUUUAUAAAAUUAAGUUACCAGUUGCUUAAAUAGCAAAUGGUUGUCUUGCCUUUCCUUAGCAUUUAUUGUGAUGAGGCAAUAAGUAUCUUUAACUUUUAAAGAAGGUUUCUUAGAAUCCAUUCAUUUUCACAUGAAAUAUUGUAAUAAAAA